This is a long non-coding RNA of Bacillus rossius redtenbacheri, 2904 nucleotides long. RefSeq lists it as uncharacterized. Lineage: Eukaryota; Metazoa; Arthropoda; Insecta; Phasmatodea; Bacillidae. The transcript is spliced from 2 exons. The record is from RefSeq and is a predicted model, not a curated record.
UUGAAAUUUUGCAGGGUUGUUGAAAUCAAAUUUAGGGACUUUACUGACGGGACUCUGGGCUGGCUGCUCUGUUCACUCGUCAGCGCAAGUGGCGUGACCAUGUAAUUGGGGCACGGGGCCGGCGCGGCGCGCUGCGGGCUUGCAGAAUUUUGUUUGUUUGUUUGGCCGCGCGCUGGCGCAGCCACGGGCCGCAGUUACUGGGGCGCGCUGUCGUAACAAGCCGCGCGGUGUGGCCUGCACAUUGGGGUAGAGGGGGGGUAGUCUUCCCAGAUGUUCUAGUUAGUUGUUUAGUAAAUUUGACUUCAAUAACGAGCUUUUGUUAUGGUAGGCGCGGCAGGGCGCGCGAAUUUAAGCGCAAGUGAGUGGUGACUUCAGGCUCACUCAGGCGGAGGCUCACUCAGGCGGAGGCUAUGCGUCUCACCUGUGGUCACGAGUUGUUAGUUCGUUCGUGAUGUAGGAAUUCAGGCUCACUCAGGCGGAAGCUAUGGUCGACGCCAGAGGCCACGAGUCGUUUAAUUUAAGUUAGGUCAUAAUGUAGUCGUCAAGCUUUCGGGCGGAGGCUAUGGCCCUCGUCAGGGGUCACGCGUCAUAGUUUUUAAAAUGUAAUGUUCGUUCGGGAUUUCAAGGGCAGGAGAGGCCCCUACGUUAUUUUUUUAAAGUAAUCGAUCAAGAAAGGCUUUUCGGAAAAUGUGAGUAUGGACUUAUCUUUGUUUUAAUUUUAAGUAUUAAUUAUGAUUUGAGGUAUUCGGAAGGACUAGGGAAGUGUUUAGUGAAGUUCUCUCAUUCUCUCUCUUGUAAGGUCGUUCAAUCGUUAAGGAAGUAAAGAGAUUAUUGUUUUAAAUUGUAAUCCUGCUAUUUAAAUGUUCUUUAAAAUGAUGUUGAGUAUUUGACUUUAAGAAUAAAAUAAUUUUAAUUAAGUAUUAUGUUAUUUUGCAAAAUCUCCUUAGUUCAGCUCUCACCAGACAUCCUGUACGGGAUGACGAACCUAUGAUCCUAGGUACAGUAAAGUAUUUUAUGAAGUUAAGACUAGUUGAUGCCAAGCGAGUUGUUUCUAUGUAAAGAGCUACGAUUCUCUCCCCCCUCCGAAAGUGGAUCGUGACAGAAAUGGUGGAGGCGCCGGGUAGGUGCACGUGACAGAAAUGGUAGAGUUCGCCGGAUAGGUUCUAUUUCUGGAGAGAGAGAGAGGUAGAUUUUUAUGUUUAUUAUUAAGUUAGUUUCAGCUUCUGAUAGCAGGUUAUUAAGAGUUUACUUGAGGAGAGGAUUACGGAAUUUUAGUCUAUAGUGGAGGAAGUCUUUGAGAUUUUUUUUUUGACGUAACAGAUGUUUAUUUGAGGAUACUUGUAAGGAUAAAGUUUAUAGUGAUAAGUUGUUUUAAGUCGUUGAAUUUAUUGUAGAUUUAUAUCGGGGAUUAUUACGUGAGGAGAAUACGUUAUAAGUUAAAUGCUUAUUAGAGAUAAUGCAAGUGGUUUAAUUUAAUUGAAGUUCAUUUUAAGAUUGUAGGUUAAGAGAAUUAUAAUUUAAAAUAAAGUUUUUUGUCGUAAAUAGGAAUUAUUUUCAAGUGAAGUUUGUUUUGUUUUCGUGCGCGUAGGAGACGAGACGUACGAAUUAAAUCAGUCGAGGGAAGGAUAAACGUUAGAAAGGAAUUAAAGAGAAAACGAGAGUUUAUGUAAAAGAGAGUUAUAGAAUUUAUAGUGAUGUUUUGUUUUAAUUAGAAAAAUGUUGAGAGUUGUUUCAGAACGACACGUCAGUGGACGUGGCAGAAUGAACACGUGACGGGGAGGUGCUGAGACCUAGCGGAGAACGGAGGAACCGCAAGCGAGGGUUGGCGCACCUGAUGGAAUUCGGUGACGUCACGGGCUCAUACGGAGACGUGGACAGGCCGUGACCUUGUUUUGAUCAGCUGUACGGUAACUUAGCGAUAAGAAAAUAGACUAUUGGUUUAAUAAAUUUAAAUUUAAGUGUGUUUUAGGAGAAGAGGAACUUUCAGUAUAUUCCUUAAGAUGAGCUGAGCAGCAGUCCAGUUUACAAGAUGACAAGAGUUCGAGAGACAAGAUACAAGAUCACUGAAACAAGAGCCAAGACUGAAGAUUCAAGAGAAGAGAAAGCUGGCAGCCAUGGACUUACAAGUGGAGAUUAAUAAGGUCAUGUAAAGUUAUAUUUUUUUAUGGAAGACAGUAACUGGAGUUUUUUUUUGUUAUAAACAGUCUUUACAGAACUUUUUAGGUUAUAGUAAUGUAAUGGAACUAGUGAGUUGUGGUAGCUGUCAAAAAGAACUAAUACCUUAAGUUUAAUUUUUAAAGUUAAUUUUCUUAAUUUACAGAGGGAUUAGUAGUUUUUUUUAAACCUUAUUUAGGUUGGAAUUUAAAUACAAUAGCUUAUUAUAAAUGUGUACGAACAGUUCAAGUUCACAGUACUGAUAGGUAGGUCAGAUGAUCUUAUUGAUUUUGAUGAUUUGUUGUUUUGAGUUGAUUUUUAAGUGUUGUGAAUUAGACAAUGAAAUAGUUCUGAAAACUUAAAUUAUUUCAAGCUAAGAAAUAGUAAAGUUAAUUGUAACUCAAAGGACACCAGAAUUUAAUUUUUUUUAAUUAGUAAUGUUUGAAAAUUUUAUACUUUACAAGAAAGGUUAUAAACAAACAGAUCGGAUGGAACAAGGAUGCAGUAAAUCACAAUUUCAUUUAGAAUUAUUGAUUAGCUUUUGAGGUUAUGAAGUAAAAGUAAUUAUAGUUUAAAAGUUUGAAUAAAAAAAAAAUGUUUUUUUUUUAUUUGUUUGAAAUAGAAAGUUUAAAAGUUAAUUAGUCAUGAUCUAGGUGGGUGAUGGGGUGGGAAUUGGCCACUCUUUUUCCCUAUAACCUCCCUAACAUGGCCUUCUAUUACAUCUAACAGAAGAAAAAAAAAGAAGAAAAA